GUACGUUUUGUGAGCACUCCAGAGGUAUUGGAACGUGUGUACACCUUAGAAUCUGAGAUAUUGCAGAUUGAGGAGGCAAUUGCAAUUCAAGGAAACAAUGAAACGGCACCUAGCACUGUAGAAGAAAGUCCAGCAAAACCAACGGAAAGUAUUGAAGGUAACAGAUCUUUGCUGGACAGUGGUGAUGAGAAAGCAAUCGUUCUUUACAAGCCGGGAGUGCAUCCACCUGAAUCAAAUGGAUCCGCUGCACAAGAGGGGAAUUCAAA
Morus notabilis is the source of this 266-nucleotide long non-coding RNA. RefSeq lists it as uncharacterized. Lineage: Eukaryota; Viridiplantae; Streptophyta; Magnoliopsida; Rosales; Moraceae. The transcript is spliced from 4 exons. The record is from RefSeq and is a predicted model, not a curated record.